CCUGACUGCUAUCGGAUUGAUACUAAGCCAUGUGAGUCAUUGUAGCAAUACAAGGCAGACGGCUCAGUAACACGUAGCCAACCUACCCUAUGGACGGGGAUAACCUCGGGAAACUGAGGAUAAACCCCGAUAGAUCAUUAUGCCUGGAACGGUUUAUGGUCCAAAUGAUUCGUCGCCAUAGGAUGGGAUUGCGGCCUAUCAGCUUGUUGGUGAGGUAAUGGCCCACCAAGGCUAUUACAGGUACGGGCUCUGAGAGGAGAAGCCCGGAGAUGGGUACUGAGACACGGACCCAGGCCCUAUGGGGCGCAGCAGGCGAGAAACCUUUGCAAUGUGCGCAAGCACGACAAGGUUAAUCCGAGUGUUUCCUGCUAAAGGAAUCUUUUGUUAGUCCUAAAAACACUAGCGAAUAAGGGGUGGGCAAGUUCUGGUGUCAGCCGCCGCGGUAAAACCAGCACCUCAAGUGGUCAGGAGGAUUAUUGGGCCUAAAGCAUCCGUAGCCUGCUUUGUAAGUUUCCGGUUAAAUCCAUUAGCUCAACUGAUGGGCCGCCGGAAAAACUGCAAAGCUAGGGAGUGGGAGAGGUAGACGGUACUCGGUAGGAAGGGGUAAAAUCCUUUGAUCUAUUGAUGACCACCUGUGGCGAAGGCGGUCUACCAGAACACGUUCGACGGUGAGGGAUGAAAGCUGGGGGAGCAAACCGGAUUAGAUACCCGGGUAGUCCCAGCUGUAAACGAUGCAGACUCGGUGAUGCCCUGGCUUGUGGCCAGUGCAGUGCCGCAGGGAAGCCGUUAAGUUUGCCGCCUGGGAAGUACGUACGCAAGUAUGAAACUUAAAGGAAUUGGCGGGGGAGCACCACCAAGGGGUGAAGCCUGCGGUUC
Molecule: ribosomal RNA, 876 nt
Filed under: uncultured archaeon
Lineage: Archaea
Description: bacterial SSU rRNA
Rfam family: Archaeal small subunit ribosomal RNA
Source: RNAcentral